This 500-nucleotide ribosomal RNA is filed under the name uncultured bacterium. Its description in RNAcentral is "partial 16S ribosomal RNA". It matches the Rfam family "Bacterial small subunit ribosomal RNA", at positions 30 to 523 of the family's 1533-position model. The record is from RNAcentral.
AUUGAACGCUGGCGGCAUGCCUUACACAUGCAAGUCGAACGGCAGCACGGGAGCAAUCCUGGUGGCGAGUGGCGAACGGGUGAGUAAAGUAUCGGAACGUGCCCAGUCGUGGGGGAUAACGUAGCGAAAGUUACGCUAAUACCGCAUACGACCUAUGGAUGAAAGCGGGGGAUCGCAAGACCUCGCGCGAUUGGAGCGGCCGAUAUCAGAUUAGGUAGUUGGUGGGGUAAAGGCUCACCAAGCCGACGACCUGUAGCUGGUCUGAGAGGACGACCAGCCACACUGGGACUGAGACACGGCCCAGACUCCUACGGGAGGCAGCAGUGGGGAAUUUUGGACAAUGGGCGAAAGCCUGAUCCAGCCAUGCCGCGUGCAGGAUGAAGGCCUUCGGGUUGUAAACUGCUUUUGUAUGGAACGAAAAGGUUUGGGCUAAUAAGCUGAGCUCAUGACGGUACCGUAAGAAUAAGCACCGGCUAACUACGUGCCAGCCGCCGCGGUAA